Molecule: RNA transcript, 1514 nt
Organism: Pecten maximus
Lineage: Eukaryota; Metazoa; Mollusca; Bivalvia; Pectinida; Pectinidae
Exons: 6
Source: RefSeq, a predicted model, not a curated record
GUUGCUAAGCUGCUUAGCAAUCGAAAUAGGCGGAGUUUGACAGUCUUCUAAACUCUUCCGUAUAACAUUGCGAUUCACACGAUGGAUAGGCCGAGUAAGGUAUUGUUGAUGUCUUUGGCGCUGAUGAGCGCCAUACACCAGUUGCCCUCAGUCUACCAAUACUUUACGUGUGUGGAGUCCGAGCCAGGUUACCUCUCAGCGACGUUAAAUUAUCUUGCGGGAACGGAGGCGGAGAACAUUUGUCCAGCGCCAGCCGAUGUAUUAUGGGGAAUUGGAACCGAGGUAGUUUGUAACCUCAUGUGCGCUCCUAUGACCAUGCUCUUUGCAAACGCGUCGUCCAUUGGAAACAGCGCCAAAAGGAAAUGGAAAUCCAUGGUUUCCAUGUUCAAGGAUUGGAGAGCCCGUCCUUCCACCUGCCGCAGCUGUGGAACUAGUCCAUGUCAGGUAGAAAGGAAGAGACUUUGGCAGCCUUCCGAAUCUCGACAUAGGAGCAAAACAAACUUCUCGGAGAGAUCGAAGGCGAUGUUGUUGUUCAACUACGGACUUGAGCUGUCUGCAGAUUUGACCAAGGAAUUACCCAAAGACGACCUUUACUGGCAAAGAAAGAUGUGUGCUCAUUUUAAGGAAGAGCACAUGGUUCUGUUCCCAAAAUGUAUCCAGCGCCAGAUCAACAACUGGUUCCCCGUCCCUCGCUAGAUUCCCUGUACUGAAAUGAAGCCGAUGUCAGCCAGUGAUGGAAGAUGUGGAGAUGUGUUCCAAGAUUUGUGACAUCGGCUUGUUGAAUGGCGUCGCAAGAAUUUUUGUUAUCAUUUAAUAUUUAUCUUAUGUUCAUGUUAAGCUCCGAUGUUUACCCUCAGCAAAUUAAAAUAAAAAUAUAUAUAUAUAUAACAAUAAUGAUAAAAAAAAUUAUAAUAAUGAUAAUUACAAAAAAAAAAAAAAAAAAUCAUAAUAAAAAAAACCCAACAUAAUAAAAAUAAUAAAAAAAAAAAACAUAAAAAAAAAAAAAAAAAAAAGAUAAGAAAAGAAAAGAAAAGAAAAUAUGGGAAGUCUUUUGGUUGAGGAACCCUUGUUUUCCAUAGUUUCUUUUCUUUUCUUUAUUUAUGUUUGUACAGGUCCUUCCUCUGCGGAACUGUCCUGUGGCCAUCCGAAGGGAAGCCAUCUGGAAGUCGCAUGGACCAGACAAACUCGGUGGAGGUCAAGAUCCGGCUUUUGUUUUUUAUGGCUAGAUCCAAGCCAUGGGGUGGUCGGGUGGCACAGUGGUAACACACUUGCCUUUCACCAAGACGACUGGGGUUUGAUACCCCGAUCGGAUGUGAAAAGGUUUGGGGUCACCAGCCCCGACCACGUGGGUUUUCCCCGGGUACUCCGGUUUCCCCCCACACUAAGACCCCUCGCGCAAUUCUAGCCGGGCCAAGGCAUCUUUUGACCCGCGGUUUUUUCAGGUCACUUCUACCUUGUUGUAGCCAGACCAUAAUUGUUGUUGCAUUGAUCAAUAAAAAUAUAUUGUUAUUGAC